Molecule: long non-coding RNA, 513 nt
Organism: Salvelinus fontinalis (brook trout)
Lineage: Eukaryota; Metazoa; Chordata; Actinopteri; Salmoniformes; Salmonidae
Exons: 2
Source: RefSeq, a predicted model, not a curated record
CCCCCAGAUCCACUCAACUCAUUUCAGCAGAGGCUCCUCCAAGCCGUCGAGAGGGAUGCAGCCUAACCUGAUGCUCACAGGAAGGAGGAUGAGGAGACCCUCUUUGCCAUGAGCCUGGUGCCAACACUGAAGAGGCUGCCUCAGCAAAGAAAAGCAGCAGUCAAGGUUAAAAUGUAUCAGCUGCUUUUCGAAGCCGAAUUCAAUGAAAUGGAGACAAUUUAGCCGACCGGCUCACAGGAAGGACAGGAAGAGGAGAGGAAGGACAGGAAGAGGACAGGAAGAGGAGAGGAAGGACAGGAAGGACAGGAAGAUGAGAGGAAGGACAGGAAGAGGAGAGGAAGGACAGGAAGAGGACAGGAAGGACAGGAAGAGGAGAGGAAGGACAGGAAGAGGAGAGGAAGGACAGGAAGAGGACAGGAAGGACAGGAAGAGGACAGGAAGGCCAGGAAGGGGAGAGGAAGGACAGGAAGAGGAGAGGAAGGACAGGAAGAGGACAGGAAGGACAGGAAGAGA